UUAUAAAAAAAAGUGGAAAGGAGAGGGAGACGCGUGAGAAACAGAGCCCACGACUCCCUCGUCUCUACCAAAUCGCCGCCACCAAUGCCUCGUCUCCCUCCUCCGACCCGCCUCGUCUCCCUUGCGUCGACCCUCCCCCUCCCCUCAUCCCACCUCACAGCUCCGGAGGCUGCCAGAUCCGCCACAUCCUCACCCAACCGUCCCUCUCGCGUCCCAUCCCGGUCUCUUCACGCAGCUCCUCGCUGCGCUACCUGCGGCGGCUGCAUCAAGUGAUGUCCGGCGAAUCCCGCCAACGCCAAGCACAGCCCGAGGUCCCUUUGCUCCAUGGAGCCUUCCCAUCCAGCUAGAUCGAGUGCUUGCUGCCACCAAAGCCCACCCGCGACCCAUCCCGCAUGGCUAGGGUUUCGGGCGUCGGAUCUGGUGUCAGUGGCCAUGUCGUCCUCGUUUCCUCCGAUGUGCGGGGAGGAACGGGCAGUGGACAACCUUGCUGCGGCUCGGGAUGAAGCAGCCACGAGCUUCCUCCUCCUCCGGCUUCAGGUGAGUUGGUCCACUCCUCCCUCUGCUCUGGUUCGUGGCACAACAGGAGACAUUGUUGCUCUGGUGUUGUUAGGAUUUUCUACUGUUUGGGAUCAAGUGCCUAUUGGUUGAGGUCAAUUUGAUUUUGUUUUGCUACUAAAGUGUCAAAGCAGAGGACGACCACAUGCUCGACUGAGUCACGAUGUGUUGAGGCUGGGAAGGUCGGCAUGGCCUUCAACCAUGGCAAAUACACCUACUAUGCUGCUGCCUUGCAAGCAUUAGUGGCUAGAAAUCAACUCCUAGCUGCAUAUUCUUUCUAGGGUAACAUCAUUGUAGGGAGGGAUUCUGAAGCCCAUAUACGUAGUAACCAGUGUGUUUGAGGCAAUUAGUACAAAAAACACCUAGGCAUGGUUAAAAUUCAGGUGGGGGUCUACAAGUAAUUAAUACAGUAUAUAUCUCCAAGGCCCUAGUUAUUCUCCUGUUUCAGGUUUUGACCAUGGCCAACAUAUAUUGUUGUAGGCUAAUUACUAAAUCAAUCUAACGAUGGUUCAUGUGGCAGUGGAGGUGUACCAACGGUAGUUUGAAGCAGAUUAGGCGGCCGCGGACAUCUUUGGCGGUGAGGCCGUCCAGUGAAGGAAAUGGCAGUGUGGCGAUUUGUGUUCUAUUCUCCAUCCUUUAAGCUCAUAACAGAAGAAAGAACUAUACAAUCACUAUUAUUUUAUUAAGAAAAAAACCUAUCAUGUACGCAUGUUUUGAUGAGUACUCCUCUUGACUCGAUUGUGUUGUAGGGAGUGGAAGCAUCCAAUUGCGGUGAUCUGCAGCUCUGGUCGCCUCCAGCAGCACCACAUAAUCAAAGUUCCAAACAGUUGUGUUGGACUGCUGCCUCCAGCCAACCAUAACAUAAUCAUUGGAUGUGCUUCUUAUGUAGAAGAUUUGAGUGAUCUAUGUGUUUAUUUCAGAAAACAUUUUCUUAAUGAAGAUUUAUAUUAUAUAGAUAUUCCUGUACAUUAGCUUUAGUUUUUUUGCUAACUAGAAAGUGGUUUCCUUUUUCUUACACCAACUCACUAAAGCAUUGGGUUCAUUUGGGGUUCCUAGAUAGCUAAUUUUAGGAGCACACAAGAUUUCGACUCCUGCUAUGUAAUUAAAGGAAAUCAUGAUAUUGACUAAUAUCCUCUGUAUAUUUACUAACCCUGGAUCAGAGACAUUUAAAUUUAAAUUAUAAUUUGGAAAGUUUAUUUAUAGGAAUGAUACAUAGUAUGUAUAAAUGCAUUUAUGAAAAUAAAUUUAUUUCAGCCACAUGUAAGCCAACACAGUAUCACAUGUAAUAUUUCUCAAUUAGUUAAAAGUAUGCUUCUUUUAAAACUGGUGGUUUUAUUUUUUAUUACAUAAAAAUGUUAUAGUUAUACAUGGCAAACUAAAAUUGUUGUGCAGACACACUGGUUGAUGACUAGUCUAACUAACUCAGGGAUAAAUUCAUUGAGUAAGAUGUAAAGUUGCCAAGAUAGUAACUAGGGCACAUAGAACGGGACGAAUAUAGAUUCUCUUAUUUUAUUAAGUAGAAUGGAACUUGGUGAAGCUUUACUUGUGUUGCGCUGUUCUAGAGAUGCAUAAGACACAUGUAACCAUUUUCCCUUGGCAUUGCAGCUGCAUGCACCAACUUGAUGUAGGGCGACACCAUGGAAGGUAUACACUCUCCCUCUCCCUACUGUACUACCGCUCGUUGUGUCCAUGAACAUUGAGCCAUGCUAGGUUCUAUCUGUCCAUAUAAUGUUAUUGAGCCAUAUUGUUCUGUAGGCUAUGUCGUAUAUUAUGGCGUCUGGAUUAGUCAUCAAUGAUCACUAACACUCAUGCUGGUAUAUUUCCAGAAUCAUAACAAGGACGUAGUUCUUGCUACAGUUCUAAGUUAUGAUCCCGAAUUUAAACUUAAUGGUGCUGAAAUUAAAAUGCAUUUUGGGCAGUGUAAUACAAAACUUGCGAAAGCUGAAGAUUUGGUACAGAUUCGCAAAAACUGCAAUACUAAUGGUAAUGCAGAAAAAAUAUAUUGCAUGGCCCUCAACGUUUAUUGAAAAGAUAUAUGGAUGAUUAUAUGGGUGCGUAACAAGUAUACUGCAAUGAUGAUGAUGAUGAUGACGACGAUGAUAUUCUGGUUCAUGAUGAUGAUGAUGGAUGCUUUCAAUUUUAGUUAAGUUGUGGGAUGUUCCUGUUGGAUGAUGUUCCUCAGUUAGUUUUAGUCAAGUUGUAGGGAUAUUGAUGGAUGAUUUUAGUUUAGAUUUUGCUGUCAAGAAAAUUUUAGAUUGUGCAUCACAUUUGGAUGAUGUUCCUCCUGUAAUAUCCAUUGUUGUAAUCCAACAGUUUUAUCUGAUAUAUGAUUUCUUCC
This is an RNA transcript of Triticum aestivum (bread wheat), 2893 nucleotides long. RefSeq lists it as uncharacterized. The transcript is spliced from 3 exons. Lineage: Eukaryota; Viridiplantae; Streptophyta; Magnoliopsida; Poales; Poaceae. The record is from RefSeq and is a predicted model, not a curated record.